Molecule: small nuclear RNA, 105 nt
Organism: Phyllostomus discolor (pale spear-nosed bat)
Lineage: Eukaryota; Metazoa; Chordata; Mammalia; Chiroptera; Phyllostomidae
Source: RefSeq, a predicted model, not a curated record
UGCUCACUUCAGCAGCAUAAUACUAAAAUUGGAAUGAUACAGAGAAGACUAGUAUGGCCUCUAUGCAAGGUUGACUUGCAAAUUUGUGAAGCAUUCCAUAUUUUU